UGGAAAUAAGAGGAUCUUCUAAAGCUGCAGUGAUGUGGCCCAGAUCACCUUUAGAGAAGAAGGGGGCAUUUAAAGAGGCAUCUCGAAGUAGAUCAGGUUCUUAUUCUGGGACUAAAGAGAAGCCAAAAAUGCACUCUAGUGAGAGCAGUUCAGAUUCUUCCCCAGAGUGGAAAGAGAAAUCUGAGAGCAGAUCUGUGUCGCAGCUCAGACCAAGAAUAAAAUCAAAAACACCUCCAAGACGCAGAACAUUAAGGUCACCACCUAGUUUUAGACCAAAACCCAGAACUCCAAAGCAUGGCAGGUCUGGGUCUCCACCAAGACCUAACUUGAAGUCCAGAACGCCUCCAAGACGCCAUAGGUCUGGCUCAUCUCCUAGACCCAAAAUAAAGUCUAGAACACCACACAGACAACAUAGAUCUGGGUCAUCCCCAAGGUCCCAAAUAAAAUCCAAAACACCACCCCGAUACCACUGCAGAGCCAGAUCAUCUCCAAGAUCUAGAAGGAAAUCUAGAACCCCUCCACGAUGUAGGUCUGGAUCACAGGCAAGAGAAAAGUCUAGAACACCAGUUACAAGAAGACUGAGAUCUGUAUCAGGGAGUCCUAGAUGCAAAUCUCGAACACUUCCAAGAUGUGGACGGUCUAGAUCACUCUCCAGAGAAAAAUCAAGCACCAGCACACAUCCACAUCAGUCUGAGUCAUCAUCCAAUGGUGACAGGCCCAGAACUUCUUUGCAACAAGAAAGAUCUGGCUCUCCCUCAUGGAGGGGUCACUCCAGUUCACUCUCCAGGCGACAAGAUAAAUCUUGGGGUUUGUUGCGGAGGGAACAAUCAGUUUCCUCUCCAGCUAGAAGCUGCUCAAGAUCCUUUUCUCAGGAGAAAUCUAAACUACCACACAGAGGUAAUUCCCAAUCGUCAGUACAGAUGUUGCAAUUGUCCCCAAAGAGGACUGCAACAAGUUGGAAUGCAUCCUGUUCACCUCCCAGAUUAGAUACAUCAUGUGUAACAGCAUCAUAUAAAGGCACUGGGUCCAGAGUAUCCCCUGAUUGUCAGUCAUCUCCUGUGAGGAAGCAUUCCAGAUCAGGCACCCAGGAAGCCUAUACAUCUCCAAGAAGAAAGUCUCACUCUCCUCUUGUUCUAGAGAGAUAUCCCAAGUCUGACCUCCAAGAGAAGCCAGCAAGCUCCUCUCUUUGGCACAGCAAAAACAACAUUGCCAUUCCUUGUGCUUUAACUCCACCUUGUGAGGAAUCUCAUAAAUUGCGAAAGGAUCCAUCUAUACUACAUGACUUGCCUUCAGUAUCAAACAAUGGUGACUCCAUAGCCAUCCAAAACAGUUCAGGAGAUAGGAAUCAGAGCAUGCAGCAAGCUAUAAUUAAAGAUGAUGUAGAAGUUGGUGCACCUUUGUCAGGGAGAAGCAGUUGUCAUGCAGGCUCCCUCUCUCCUGUAAAAGCUAAAUGGUUGUCCCACUCCUCCUCUUCCUCCUCUGCUUCUUCAAGCCCCUUACCAGCAUUGAUUUCUGUCCUAGUGCCAUCCCCCAAAGAAGAGGAGAUUGUGUCUGAAGGAAAAGUAGCAGACAGGUCUGAGGUGCACUUGCCUACCCUUGAGGCUGAGUCACAGUUGGCUUCUGUCACCAUGGAGGAUGACACCAGGAGCAGCUGUCCCACAGUCCUACAACCUGCUCUUCCCUCUCCUCCACCCUCUGCCCCUUCAAAGGCAAAGAGAAGUUCACCUGCUUCAUCUACCAGUUCAUCAUCAUCCUCUUCUUCCUCCUCAUCCUUAUCUUCAACUUCUGAUUCUGAGUCCAGCUCAUCUGAAUCCAGUCCCCAUGAUCAGGCAACAAAGGAUCUUGAGGCUAAGAUUGAACUGAAACACCCAGUGCUGAAAGAGACUAAUCAUGAUGAGCAACCUCUGGAAAUGGGCAAACGUAAGUGUCGUUCUCAAAGCUCAAGCAGUUCAAGCAGCAGCUCUUCCUCUUCAUCCUCAUCCUCUUCUUCAUCUUCGUCCUCUUCAACGCCACUGCCUAAAACAGGACUUCAGGCGGUGAUGAAGGGUCCCCUAAAGAAGAAACCAUCUCCAGGAAAGAGAAAAGACAGGUCUAGGGAUAGGUCCCUGCGGAGAAACAGACGAAGCAUCAGCAGGUCUCCAGGACGAAAACAUCAACACAAAUCUCCCAGUCCCCGAGCUCCUCGUCGCAGAACUUCAAGGUCCCCGUAAGCCUUUUGGAGAGUGGAAUGUCCUUGUCCUCACAACCACAGACUGCACCAUCCCCAGCGUCCAGUGCUAUUCCAGUUGGGAGUCCCCCACCUACUGAUGUCCACUGAAAACCAGUGUGUUUGCAUUGGGGGGAGAGUGAAGUGGAGGUCUCUUCAUUUGCCAUCACCUUUAUAUUCUCAUUAGUUUUUUCCUUUACUGUCCCUGUCUUUAUUGCCCAUCAUUUGUCGGCAGCUACCUUCCCCAUGUCCCUGGACAUUUCUGCACAACACCUGCCAGGAUCCAAAAGCUUCUAUGCUCCUCUUCCAACAGUUGGUGAUGUUCAUUUGAUUUUUUCCCUCCUGUGAGCAUUUUUUUCCCUGUGCAUUUUGCAGCUAAAAUCUAUACUAACAACCCAGAAUUAGAUGGAAGGUAGUGCUUUCUAGUAGCUCCUUUCUCUGUUCCCCACUUUCUAUCAAGCUUUUCUGAAGAAAGGCAGGCAGCUUCUUUCAGUAGCCUGUAACAGUGGAGUCGAUCCUUGGCAGUGGCAACUAUUCCUGCUCCUCCACCCCCCAAGAACAAAAUGAAUUUAAUAUGCAGCACUUUUUUUCCUUUUUCCUCCUCAAGGGAGACUCACUCAUAUUUAUUAGCUGAGCCAGGUCAUGAGGGGUCAAGUUUGAAACUGGAACAGGGGCUUUCAGGCAUUUUAGGGGGAAGGUGACAAAGUGUGCUGAGAAGAAGCUGAGAAACCCUAAAUCAGGGAGGGUGGGAACAGAAGUUUUUUCAUAUUUCUGAAAAGCAUUUAAUUUUUUUUAUAUGUACAGCAAGGAGAUUUUUUUUUCUGUCAAAUAAACUUA
Notechis scutatus (mainland tiger snake) is the source of this 3043-nucleotide long non-coding RNA. Lineage: Eukaryota; Metazoa; Chordata; Lepidosauria; Squamata; Elapidae. The record is from Ensembl.